Molecule: long non-coding RNA, 275 nt
Filed under: Brachypodium distachyon (stiff brome)
Lineage: Eukaryota; Viridiplantae; Streptophyta; Magnoliopsida; Poales; Poaceae
Description: long non-coding RNA (BDIS_LNC001504)
Source: RNAcentral
ACCAACAAGGAAACCAGAGAACCGAGCGGAGCCCAGAUCCGGAUGCGGACAGGACGGGAUCAGCCGCCGAAGCCGUAGAGGGUGCGGCCCUGGCGCUUGAGGGCGUAGACGACGUCCAUGGCGGUGACGGUCUUGCGGCGGGCGUGCUCCGUGUAGGUGACGGCGUCGCGGAUGACGUUCUCGAGGAAGAUCUUGAGCACGCCGCGGGUCUCCUCGUAGAUGAGCCCCGAGAUGCGCUUCACGCCGCCACGGCGCGCCAGGCGACGGAUCGCCGG